This 89-nucleotide transfer RNA is filed under the name Cryptomonas curvata. Its description in RNAcentral is "tRNA-Leu". The record is from RNAcentral. Lineage: Eukaryota; Cryptophyceae; Cryptomonadales; Cryptomonadaceae.
UAGAGUGGCCGAGCGGUCCAAGGCGCCAGACUUAAGAUCUGGUGACUAACAUCUCGUGGGUUCGAAUUAAAGUCCCAAAAAGAUAAAAA